CCCUCGCCCAACAGAUCGCUAUUCGAAGCUCACACACGGAAAGAGUCGCAUGCUCUUUCGCCUUGCGCAAAGAAUAAAGCUUUGGGAGAAAGUCCCCGGACACCCACCUUCUUGUUCAUUCAGGAAGCUGGUCGCGGAAACGCGCCGCCAUAGAAGCACCGCGGCUGAUCUCGGCCGCCAGUUCCUUUGUCUGUCACGGCUCGCCCGGCCCAUCCACUCCAAAGUCGGCCGGCACUCCGUCGCGUCGUCGCGGGACCGUGCAGCAGUCCGUUCCCGGGGCGGUGGGACCACAUGGACGAAGAUAUGAGUCCGCGCUCUCGUUCCGGGGACGGAUUUGCUGUGCCCACGACGGGCGGCGGAUGAAGCCGGCCGAUGGUGGGCUGCCGCGGGGUCCGGUCUGGACGGGGAGCGUCACGGCUGGCUCGAGAGGUUUCGUCAAGAUGCCACAGAUAUGCGAUUGCUCGCUCCCCUGGCAACGGGGGCCGCGAGUUACUCGACGGGGCUCAUUCUUGGUGCGAGG
This 520-nucleotide RNase MRP RNA is filed under the name Thermothielavioides terrestris NRRL 8126. Its description in RNAcentral is "Thielavia terrestris NRRL 8126 RNase MRP". It matches the Rfam family "RNase MRP". From Rfam's summary of the family: RNase MRP is an enzymatically active ribonucleoprotein with two distinct roles in eukaryotes. In mitochondria it plays a direct role in the initiation of mitochondrial DNA replication. Lineage: Eukaryota; Fungi; Ascomycota; Sordariomycetes; Sordariales; Chaetomiaceae. The record is from Rfam by way of RNAcentral.